AUUAUGGCUCAGGAUGAACGCUAGCGGCAGGCUUAACACAUGCAAGUCGAGGGGCAUCGGGAGUAGCAAUACUGCCGGCGACCGGCGCAAGGGUGCGUAACGCGUGAGCAACAUGCCCGUAUCAGGGGGAUAAUCCAUGGAAACGUGGUCUAAUACCCCAUAGUAAUUAUGUAAGGCAUCUUAUAUAAUUUAAAGCUUUGGUGGAUACGGAUUGGCUCGCGUGACAUUAGCUGGAUGGUAAGGUAACGGCUUACCAUGGCUACGAUGUCUAGGGGUUCUGAGAGGAAGGUCCCCCCACACUGGAACUGAGACACGGUCCAGACUCCUACGGGAGGCAGCAGUGAGGAAUAUUGGACAAUGGAUGGAAAUCUGAUCCAGCCAUGCCGCGUGCAAGGAAGACGGCCCUAUGGGUUGUAAACUGCUUUUGUAUGGGAGCAAUAAGGGCUACGUGUAGUCCGAUGAGAGUACCAUACGAAUAAGCACCGGCUAACUCCGUGCCAGCCGCGGC
This 508-nucleotide ribosomal RNA is filed under the name uncultured bacterium. RNAcentral's name for it is "bacterial SSU rRNA". It matches the Rfam family "Bacterial small subunit ribosomal RNA", at positions 16 to 518 of the family's 1533-position model. The record is from RNAcentral.